RNAcentral lists this ribosomal RNA (376 nucleotides) under Leptodeira annulata (banded cat-eyed snake). RNAcentral's name for it is "partial 16S ribosomal RNA". It matches the Rfam family "Bacterial large subunit ribosomal RNA", at positions 1970 to 2557 of the family's 2925-position model. Lineage: Eukaryota; Metazoa; Chordata; Lepidosauria; Squamata; Dipsadidae. The record is from RNAcentral.
UGUCUAUUAAUUGUAGACCAGUAUGAAAGGCAAAAUGAGGGUCUAUCUGUCUCUUAUAAUGAAUCAAUUAAACUGAUCUCCUAGUAAAAAAGCUAGAAUUCUAUCAUAAGACCAGAAGACCCUGUGAAGCUUAAACUAAAAUAUUAAACCACUUAAUAUAUACUUUUGGUUGGGGCGGCCUUGGAAAAAAAAAGAACUUCCAAACACAUGACUAUACUCAUACCAAACAUAGGCCCACAAGCCUUUUAUUAUGACCCAGUAUAACUGAUAACUGAACAAAGUUACUCCAGGGAUAACAGCGCCAUCUUCUUCAAGAGUCCAUAUCAAAAAGAAGGUUUACGACCUCGAUGUUGGAUCAGGACAUCCUAAUGGUGCA